AUGAAUAGUACAACACCUGCAAUUUUGAGUUGGAAUGUACGAGGGCUGAAUUCGCCGGCGAAGAGAACUGCAAUGCGUCAAGUUGCAGAAGCGCAGCAUGUAUCCAUACUCUAUCUUUAGGAAACCAAGCUGGAAAGUUGGCAGCAGUCCACUGUCAGGGAGCUAGGAGGAAACACAUUAGAAGGAUGCGCCGUUCUUCCAGCAAUGGGCACCAGGGGAGGAGUUGCCAUACUAUGGAACAAGAGAAGCGUCAGUUUUGCCUCUCAAGCAGUCGGGUGUUUCUCGAUCACGGGCAAAGUCACGGUGCUACACGACGGAUCUUGGUUCUGGCUGACAACAGUCUACGGCCCCGUACAUGACACAUGCAAAGAUGCAUUCCUUGCUGAACUUGCCCAUGCAGCGCCACCAUCUGGAGAGCCGUGGCUGAUAAAUGGGGAUUUUAACAUCAUUUAUGAAGCCCGUGAUAAAAGCAACCUCAAUCUGAACCGGAGGAUCAUGGGCAUGUUCAGAACAGCAAUCGACAGAGCAAGCCUUAGAGAAAUUAAGUGC
RNAcentral lists this ribosomal RNA (549 nucleotides) under Triticum aestivum (bread wheat). RNAcentral describes it as "partial small subunit ribosomal RNA". The record is from RNAcentral. Lineage: Eukaryota; Viridiplantae; Streptophyta; Magnoliopsida; Poales; Poaceae.